This 264-nucleotide ribosomal RNA is filed under the name uncultured bacterium. RNAcentral's name for it is "partial 16S ribosomal RNA". It matches the Rfam family "Bacterial small subunit ribosomal RNA", at positions 793 to 1055 of the family's 1533-position model. The record is from RNAcentral.
GUCCACGCCGUAAACGAUGCAUACAAGCUGUAGUGGGGAUUUACUCCUGCUGUGGCGAAGCUAACGCAAUUAGUAUGCCGCCUGGGGAGUACGGUCGCAAGACUAAAACUCAAAGGAAUUGACGGGGGCCCGCACAAGCGGUGGAUUAUGUGGUUUAAUUCGAAGCAACGCGAAAAACCUUACCUAGGUUUGACAUCCCAAGACAUCCGUGGAAACACGGCUUUCUCGCAAGAGACUUGGAGACAGGUGCUGCAUGGCUGUCGU